Long non-coding RNA from Oncorhynchus keta (chum salmon), 2975 nucleotides. RefSeq lists it as uncharacterized. The transcript has 5 exons. The record is from RefSeq and is a predicted model, not a curated record. NCBI's taxonomy places the organism in Eukaryota, Metazoa, Chordata, Actinopteri, Salmoniformes, Salmonidae.
AUUUCAUAUGAGCUGUUGGCCUAUCGAACUGUGUUAAAACCAAGGACAAAACCAAGUUUUUGUUUUAUGCCCUCAUUUGCCAACCUCAAUGUGUCUGCAAUAUUUUAUCAAUACAGCAAUUAAGAGUCAGCUGAUCAGAUUCCAGUCACAUCUUCAGUAUUUUAUUUACUGGAGCGAGUCAGGAGAAAUGUCUCUACUGUCGUCUAUCCGCUGAUGUUCAGACUAGACAAUAUACGAAAAGGAAAAGAUGUUUACUUUCAUCACUAUGUCAAAUUUCUCCAAAUGACUUAAUAAAAAUGCCUUUGAAUAAAUGACAAGGCAUGUAUCACACAGUCCCAUAAACAAUUUAUGAUAGUGCACUUACAAAAGCCCCUCAGAAAGUUGUGUCUGCUGAAGCAAAUAAAGACACAGGCCAUAACCACUAAAACAUCAAUUCAUAUUCGAGUUUAUCUUUAUCAAUAUCUUUAUACUGAGUAAUGCACAUCAUUGACCAGGCUUUUUGUUUUGUGUCCUUUGGAAAGAUAAUAAUCUACACCAGCAAUCUGCGGAUCAUCCGGGCCUAUCAGAGUGAAGGAAGGACAUGGAGACAUCCUCAGCUCCCUGGGGGAAUGGGCGAGUACUCACAGGGAUACCCAAAGCCCUCUGUGCUCACAGGGAGGGGCAGAGCACCGAUCGACCGGACAAGCAAGAUGCUGCAUCCAGCUGCCAGCAUUGUGGAGGUUCGGGCUGUCCCCUGCUCUUUGUGCCAUGGCAGCUGUCCAUACUGGCCAACCGCUUCAACGAGUCUAUCAGUGUGCUGUGAUGCCAGUCCUGCUACUCUGAUGGACUGGAGAGGUGCCAGUCCUGUACCAAAUGACACCAACCACUGGCUGUGUGUGCCAAUGGUACUGCUGCCUGAGUGAGCGAGCUGAUCAAGGGGUCGAAAAUCUAGAUAUUGCCAGAUGUUCACGGUCCGAGGAACAGGCUGUGGAAGCUUAUUGCUGGAAAAAGUGGUCCAUAACCAGAGGUUAUAUCAGCUGUUUUGGUGAACCCCUCCCGCAUCUGAACUUGCUGACACAUAGGGCACAGCAUGAUCAUAGGUAUGUUUUGAUGUGAGAGAGGAAGCCAAUCCCGCCAUCGCCACCUUACCCGCUCUUAAGAUAACCUUAUGGCCAACUGGGGGCCCAAGGCUGGUUAGGAGACACCGCAAUUGUGAUGAACUGAGAGAAUAGUAGGGUCGCGCUGUAAUUCAAUGAAUCAUAUGCUGUCUGCUGCUGUUCUUACCUAUUUCCCUUUCUGUAUUCUACACCUCUCUCCCCACCUUGUCUUUCUUCCUUAUUUUAUAAUGCACACCAUAUGUGCAUUGAAGUACAGAUUGAACUUGUAUUUAUAAACAAUUGUUGGAAAAAUUACUUCUGUCAUGCAGAAAGUAGAUGUCCUAACCUACCAAAAGUAUAGUUUGUUAACAAGAAAUUUGUGGAGUGGUUGAAAAACAAGUUUUAAUGACUCCAACCUAAGUGUAUGUAAACUUCCGACUUCAACUGUAAAUUACUUCCAGACUAGAGAAAGUUAUUUUUCUCACUAUAUGUUUACUGCUGUAUGUUUAAAAAGCUUAUCCACGCAUGACUUGCUGAUGUGGUAUGAGGCCACACACUGGACACAUCUGUAACGAAAUUCGUCUUCCUCUGACGAGGAGUAUGAAGGAUCGGACCAAUAUGCAGCGUGGUACGUGUCCAAGUUGAUAAUUUAUUAACAUUGAACACCAAAAACAAAAUAACAAGUAGAACGAACGAAAACGAAACAGUUCUGUCUGGUAAUUAUACAGAGACAGAAACAAUCACCCACAACUAAAAAGGGUGAAAACAGGCUACCUAAGUAUGAUUCUCAAUCAGAGACAACAAACGACACCUGCCUCUGAUUGAGAACCAUACCAGGCCAAACACAUAAACACAACAAAGAAAAAAGAACAUAGACUACCCACCCCAACUCACGCCCUGACCAAACUAACACAAAGACAUAAAUAAAGGAACUAAGGUCAGAACGUGACAACAUCUGCUGAUAAUCAUGUUGGCAAAUUUAUAUAGCGAGAUGUAUAACCUUCUGAAGUAUCACUAGGGGACAGGCUGAGUGGCCGCGCAUCUUCCUCAGCUCUACCUCUCCUGUCAGUUAUGAUAUGAACUAGCAAUGAAUGCAUUUAGACAUGUAUAGAGGCUACAAUACCAUGCUCUGAGACACCAUGCCAGAUAUAUUCACCAGGCAACAGGGUGUGGAAUAAGGGUUUAUUUGACAAACAUAUGUGACUGUGCUGCCAUCCUGUUAGAAGGUAACAGAUUAUUUUAUUUACAAUGGUUAAAUUGAAUUUUCAUUGUGUUCAAUGGUGUUAUUUGCCCCCUAGUGGCGCUUUCUGGUACUUAGAAAGACAACGCAAACGGGAAGUUCAGAAUUUGUUUUGCACGCAUAGAAGCAGCUACAAACAACGCUACGGUGCAGGUCUUUCAAUGUAGUUAUUUCUUGUCACGCUUCAGCCUUGGAAAAAUAUUUGUUUGUAAGUUCGAUUCAAGCAUUUAGCUAAUGAUGAUAAUAUUGUUAUUGAUAGAGUUUCUUACAUAUCAAUGUUGGUUGCAUUUACUCACAAAUUGCAAUGCCUUUAAUGUAUGUCGUUAGCUGUAUUACUUUGCUCAUGCAAACGAAUUGUAAAAUAUACAAUACUGUAGUUUUGUUACUGUUUCUAGUGUAAUAUGCUUUGUUAUUCUACAUAGAUGGUUAUACAUUAUUAGAGUAAUGAAAGGAGCAAUUACCAUAUGGUUAACAAUUAGCUAUAUGGUUUGGCAUCAUGCCAGAUGCAUGGUACCUUAGCGCGUGCUUUGUAUUUAUGCAACUUCAAAUGUUUAAUGUACAGCUACAGUAUGUCGGUGUGAAUUGAACACUAAAGUAUAUUCUUUUCUGUAUUUUGCAGUUUCACAACAUAAACGUUUCAAUAUAUUCAUUCAAGAAAA